AUCAACACAACAGUUUUUUUUAUUCCGGCUAACACGUUCGAAAUCAGAUAUCAUUUCAGCGUUAUUUUCAGCCGUAAAAAGGUUUAAUCCAUUUGAACAUUAACUUUUUUUUUCUGGCUAACACGCGCAGCGAAAUCGGGUAUCAUCCCAGGAGAUAUCUAUAUUAAGCGGAUUCCAUCACGGAACAUAGUUCUUUAUAUGGGAAAGGAUAAGG
Molecule: long non-coding RNA, 214 nt
Organism: Erigeron canadensis
Lineage: Eukaryota; Viridiplantae; Streptophyta; Magnoliopsida; Asterales; Asteraceae
Exons: 3
Source: RefSeq, a predicted model, not a curated record